This 569-nucleotide ribosomal RNA is filed under the name Talaromyces sp. ASR-264. RNAcentral describes it as "eukaryotic LSU rRNA". The stretch from base 219 to 372 matches the Rfam family "5.8S ribosomal RNA". The record is from RNAcentral. Lineage: Eukaryota; Fungi; Ascomycota; Eurotiomycetes; Eurotiales; Trichocomaceae.
CUUCCCGUAGGUGAACCUGCGGAAGGAUCAUUACCGAGUGCGGGCCCGCUCUGGGCCCAACCUCCCCACCCGUGUCUCUUGCGUACUUUGUUGCUUUGGCGGGCCCACUGGGUCACUCCGGUCGCCGGGGAGCGCUAUGCUCCCGGGCCCGUGCCCGCCAGAGCACCCCUGUGAACCCUGAUGAAGAGAGGCUGUCUGAGUCCCACGAUAAUCGUUAAAACUUUCAACAAUGGAUCUCUUGGUUCCGGCAUCGAUGAAGAACGCAGCGAAAUGCGAUAAGUAAUGUGAAUUGCAGAAUUCCGUGAAUCAUCGAAUCUUUGAACGCACAUUGCGCCCCCUGGCAUUCCGGGGGGCAUGCCUGUCCGAGCGUCAUUUCUGCCCUCAAGCGCGGCUUGUGUGUUGGGCGUGGUCCCCCUGGCUUUGGCGGGGACCUGCCCGAAAGGCAGCGGCGACGUCCCGCCUAGUCCUCGAGCGUAUGGGGCUCUGUCACGCGCUCGGGAGGGACUGGUGGGCGUUGGUCACCCCUUAUUCUUUCUACGGUUGACCUCGGAUCAGGUAGAGUUAGAAGU